UACGGAGGGUGCAAGCAUUAAUCGGAUUUAUUGGGCGUAAAGGGCGCGUAGGCGGUUUAGAAAGUCAGGUGUGAAAUUCCGAAGCUCAACUUCGGAGCUGCAUUUGAAACUCCUAGACUCGAGGUAUGGCGGAGAAAAUGGAAUUCCACGUGUAGCGGUGAAAUGCGUAGAUAUGUGGAAGAACACCAGUGGCGAAAGCGGUUUUCUAGCUAUAACCUGACGCUGAGGCGCGAGAGCAAGGGGAGCAAACAGG
RNAcentral lists this ribosomal RNA (253 nucleotides) under uncultured bacterium. Its description in RNAcentral is "partial 16S ribosomal RNA". It matches the Rfam family "Bacterial small subunit ribosomal RNA", at positions 524 to 776 of the family's 1533-position model. The record is from RNAcentral.